This 29-nucleotide non-coding RNA is filed under the name Mus musculus (house mouse). The record is from RNAcentral. Lineage: Eukaryota; Metazoa; Chordata; Mammalia; Rodentia; Muridae.
UGGGCAGUCUGAUGAAUUAUCCUUAAGUG